RNA transcript from Carassius auratus (goldfish), 5198 nucleotides. It is a transcript of the gene named putative tetratricopeptide repeat protein 41, with no coding region annotated. The transcript has 19 exons. NCBI's taxonomy places the organism in Eukaryota, Metazoa, Chordata, Actinopteri, Cypriniformes, Cyprinidae. The record is from RefSeq and is a predicted model, not a curated record.
AGUCAGGAUAGGAUUGAGAUGUUUCUUUUUUACUUAUUUUAUGUUGACUAAUAUUAUUGCAUUUGCAUUGCAAUAUGCAUUUAUUUUAUUUUUCUCUAUUGCAUGUAACUACUGAAAUUUUCACACACUAAAAAUGCAAGUAAUAAAUAUUAGGAAAAAAAUAAUGGCAGAAACUUCUGACAGCUUAUUUCUGGGGUUUCCUCUCGGGCCUUAUCUGUGUUAUGUUCCAGGUGAUCUUCAAGAAGAGCUGAUUUACUUGAAAGCAAAGGUGUUUCCUCACCUAGACACACUUUGCCAGGCGAAGGGAACGUGUUUCAGACCUGUGGACUUGCAGAGAAGCAAACAAGAAAGAAGAGAUUAUGAAAAUAAUCAUAAGCUUGACCUUUUUGACCAAAAGUUGAAAAUCAGUUUGGAUCUCAUUGACCGCUCGUCUUUUUUCAUUUGUCUUCUUGGACACAGCUACGGACAGUGUCUGCCGGCUGAAAAUGGUUCUCGGUCUGAUAUUGGACCAUGUUCUUUGUCUGAGGUGGCUAGGAACUUGCACGUUGCUGCAGAGGCUGGUUACCCUUGGGUUAUGGAGGAUGAGUAUCGCACCAGUAGCCUUACAGAGCUGGAGAUCACCAAGGCAGCCUUCAUUGACAACAACAGAAGCUGCUUCUUUUAUUUUAAAGACUGCACCCCUCAGGACACACAGGACGACAGAAGUAGUGAAACGUGCAAUUUCUUGAACAUGCUGUCCACUCAAAGUCAAAGGGAGAGACAGAGAAUGAGAAAUCUAAAAAAAAAGAUCAUAAAUCAUUGUCUUCCUGUCAGAUUCUUCAGAAACCUUUAUGAACUUGAGGAGAUGAUAAAGGUGGACUGGGAGGGAAUAUGUAAAUUUCACGAGGAUCCAAAACAUCCCAUCUCAGGAUGGCAGGAUUCAUUCGAUCUAAAAUACCAUGCGAUGUAUGCGCGUACAUUGUGUGACUGGUUUGUGCCCUCGGCACCCACCACAGAAAUACUGAACACACUAAACAAAUUUCUGCGUCCUGUAACCCAUAAUGCAAAAUCUGAGAUGCACUCAAAAAAUCCAGGAGCUCAUUUUACAUGUGAUCUUGACCAGAACGACUCAGAGAAAUCUAUUUUACUAGUGUGCGGUGAAAGGGGUUGUGGGAAGUCCACUCUGGCAGCAUGGUGGCUGCAGUCCUUCUGCAGACAAAAUCCUGAUGUUCCAGUCAUCUCUCACUUCUGUGGGACCAGCACAUCCAGCACUGAUGUCAGGUCUAUGCUCAGACAGUGUACUGCGCAACUUCGAAGAGCACAUUACAGUGAUUUUCCAGAUUGGGAUGAUAGUUUGGAGGACGUGAUUGAGUUUAUACAUCUCCAUCGGACAGUCCAGGCAUUUACUGCAGCAGCCAGUCUUGGGCCUUGUAUUCUUCUUAUAGAUGCUAUUGACCUUCUGACAGAAACAAUAGCAAUAUCAAAGCAAGAGGUGAAGGAACUGCAAUGGCUGCCAGAUGAUCUCCCUCGCUAUUGUAAAAUGAUCAUCACAACAACGUUUACUGACCUCACUUACAAAAGUCUGACCAGCAGGACCGAUGUCCAGAUUCUCAUCUGUCCCCAUCUCUCAGAUUCAAGUGUUCUGGGCAGCAUUAUAUGCAAACAUUUGUCUUUGCCUUACAAGGAGCUGCCAGCAAGUGUUUUGCAAAGAGUUGGACGUAAGAAGCAGUGCCACAUUCCGGCCUUCUUAGCGCUCAUUGGCACAGAGUUACGGACAUGUGGAGUGCUGAGGGAGAAAGAGGAAGAGAUGGAGCUGUUGAAGGAGUAUAUAGAGGCUGAUUCAGUUCCAGAGCUCUGGGUGAAGGUCAUUCAUCGCUGGGUACAAGAUUACAGCAGAACUGCUCCAACAGAAGAUAUUACUGAGGCUCAAAAUUGCUCUGCAUCACUCAGGGAUGAUCUCUCAGGCUGGGUUUGGGACACGCUCUGUCUUAUUCAUGUGUCUCGUGCUGGGCUGACUGAGCCUCAGGUUUUGGCUUUGCUGGAAGAUUUAGGCUACUGUGGUAAUCUGCAAAUCCAGGUUUUGGAAUGGGCCCGACUGCGCUCUACAUUUUGGCCUUGGGUUCAAGAGAAAGCCAAUGGGCUUCUGAGCAUCACACAUCAAUCACUCAGCCAGGCUAUUAACCUGCUGUUGCAUGGUAUGGAUGGUCAGAAUUUCUACCAACGGAUGCUUGCUAAGUUUUUUCAGAAGUCCAGUUUAGAGCUUUGUAGCUGGGCAAGAAAGAUGGAAGAGAUUCCUUGGCAUCUCAAGCAAACUGGUUCAUUCAACGAGUUGCAUGAUUUCCUCAGUGAUCUGUUUACCCUGGAGUUUUUGUCAAGCAGCCUGAAGCGAUUCCCACAGAUGACAAUUGAUGUUAUACAUUAUUGGACACUACUAAGGCAGAGAGGAUUUGACCCUGUGACUUCAUUCCAGAAUCUGAUGGCUAAGACUUGGGAGCAUCUUGAUGAGGUUCACCCUCCAGAUCACAGCAGUUUGUGGAGACUGUCAUUGUUCUGUUCUAAAGUUCUGCUCUGUUUGGGUGAAAUGCAACAAGCUCGAGAGCUGCUACUGCAAGCAGAUCGAAUUUUCCCAAAGGGCGUAGAGCUGGAUAGUGACAGUAUGAGGUUACUACUCAAGGUGCAACAUAUGCUGGCAGAGCUUUACGUCCAAAUGCAUCUGCCAAAAGACACAGAGAUGUACUGCCACAAGGGACUUGAGACGGCCCGGUCUCUUACAGUAGCCCACCUUGACAGCACAGAGGUCAAACUGAUAGUUGGACAGCUGCUUUGUUGUCUGUGUGUGGCAUUGCUGGAGGAUGGACGGCUUUAUGCAGUACCAGGGCUUUUCAAAGAGAUCAGCUCGGAUAGAUGCAUCUUUGGCCAUCCUUGUGCUGACGGCACAGCAAUGCUACUGAAGGCCAUUCACAAGUUGAGUCUUUGUGAGCCCCAGACUGCUGAGAAAUGCUUUCAAGCUGCACUGGCCAGCCGGAGGCGCUGGUACGGCUAUGAUCAUCCUCUGGUAGCAGAAGUGGAGGAGCAGCUUGCAGAUCUCUGGGCCAGAAUUCAAACCAACACAGAAUGGACACAGAGGAAGAUGGUUGAACUGUACCGGCAUGUUAUAAGCACUAAAGAGACUGAGGCUCAGAUGAUGCAACUUCCCACCAUGCAACACAACCUUGCUGUCAUUCUUACAAAGCUUGGUAAGGUGUUGUUGCGUAGCUGCAGUAGAGUUGAGAGGAGAGAGGGGCUGGAUCUGCUUCAGAGAGCUGCAGACAUAAGGAUUCACCUCCUGGGCCCUGAGCACCCACUGACACGAGACCUGGAGCUGGUUUCAAACCCUGAUAUUGUAGGACAGAGGAAGCAUGUUCUAGAGGUCAUCAGGACCACCUCAAACAAUAACCUGUCACUAGGUAGGUCAUCUACAACUGCUUACAAGGAAUCACACAGUGGGCUGCAAAAACCAUCCUCACAGUCACAAAUAACAUGAGCAACUACCAAAGUCCCUAGGAGCUUCUCUACACAAAGAGCAUCAUGUUGUAACCAGGAUGAAACCCCCAAAAGACCAUGGAUGGCUUUCCAGGUCUGCGUAUUUGGACCACAGAGUGACAUUAGGACUCUAUUGCAAACAGGAAACACUGGUAGGUUUGACCGACGACGGCCCCUUACCAGAUCAACCCGGGGUCUUUCUCAGGAAGGUGCAUCAUGCAGGAGGAAGCUUUGAAAGCACUGAACCAAUAAAAAAAGAAGUGUGUCAUAUGGUCAGAGUAGCUAUUCUAUUCUAUUCUAUUCUAUUCUAUUCCAUUCUAUUCCAUUCUACUCUAUUCUAUUACUUCUUACCUUUGUGUUGCUCACUGAACAUUACAAAUUUCUGUAAAGCUGCUUUGAAAAAGUAGAUUUAUAGUGAACAAAUAUCUAUUUUAGAAAUGUAUCAUUUGUUUGCAUAAAUAAAUGUUUACUACGUAAUUAUUAUAGUAUACAUUCACAAGACAUAAAACAAAAAUACAAAAGCCUGUGAAAGCAGAAAUAAACUGAAUGCUGAAAUACUGUACAUGUAUAUAUAAUCAUAUUCCUACUUAGUCUAUAAUAUUUUAUUUAAUACAGUGUUGGUCAUCAUUAAUCUAUCUUUAUCUUCGGAGCAUGAGGGUGGCUGGUUUUUUAAGACUUUUAUUUUGAAAAGAACUGGGACUGGGCUCCUAAGAGGAUUUCUGAAUGUUACGAGCGCCAGGAUUUACAUCUGUGCAAGUAUUAUGUUUUACGGGAAAUGCAGAGCCACAAGUUGGUCCCCAAGUUUAAACGGCUGCACAGUAUCGAUGAGAACAGCCACAGGAUGCUGGAGGAGCGUGGUCUCACUGGUGACAUCAUCCAUGACCUGACCUACAUCUACCAGAACGUUUAUCGCCUCAACACACAAACUAUAAGCAGUGUCCAGGCUCGAGAUCGGUGGAUUUUGUGUCCAUGACCAGGAACCAUGACCAUGUCUCAUCCAUCUCUGAACCCACCCACUACAUCCUGACAACAGAGUGGAUUUGGUACUACUGUACAAAGGAGAUCAUGAGAACUGGAUAGAGUACGUUCAACAGAUAUGCACCAAGCACAACACAUAGAGGAGGGUGCGCAGGCGACCACGCUUUGUGUCUAUCAAUGAGGUGGAAGCUAAAGCUGCCCAGUGAUGGACCAAACACACAAACACAUUCAGAUUAUCAGUUACUGCUUUAGUUUUGUGUCACUUCUCAAUUAAUACUUUGAGAAGAUAUAUCCUCAAUUUAUCCUCAGUACACACACAAAUAUAUAUAUACAAUGCUGCUUGAAAGUUUGUGAACCCUUUAGAAUUUUCUAUAUUUCUGCUUAAAUAUUACCCAUAAAAUCAUCAGAUUUUCACAAGAGUCCUGAAAGCAGACAAAUAGAACCCAAUCAAACAACUGAGACUAUUUAUUCAGAAGAAUGAUCCGAUAUUACAUAUCUGUGAGUGGCAAAGUAUCUGAAUCUCUAGGAUCAGCUGUUAAUUUGAAGGUGAAAUUUGGCUCCAUCUGUUCAGAGGUGUUUUUAAUCAGUAUGUGUCAAAUGUCAGUGCAUUCCUUAUUUUGUUUGAAAAACAGGGAUCUAUCAAAGUUUGAUCAUGUUUGUGGAAGUGUAUCAUAAAUUUUUUCAAAAUAAUUUAAAAUCAAAAUAGACCUGUCUUUGCC